UACGCAGGGGGCAAGCGUGGUCCGGAUUUAUUGGGCGUAAAGCGCGCGCAGGCGGUCUCUUAAGUCUGAUGUGAAAGCCCACGGCUCAACCGUGGAAGGUCAUUGGAAACUGGGAGACUUGAGUGUAGGAGAGGAAAGUGGAAUUCCACGUGUAGCGGUGAAAUGCGUAGAUAUGUGGAGGAACACCAGUGGCGAAGGCGACUUUCUGGCCUAUAACUGACGCUGAGGCGCGAAAGCGUGGUGAGCAAACAGG
This 253-nucleotide ribosomal RNA is filed under the name uncultured bacterium. Its description in RNAcentral is "partial 16S ribosomal RNA". It matches the Rfam family "Bacterial small subunit ribosomal RNA", at positions 524 to 776 of the family's 1533-position model. The record is from RNAcentral.